RNAcentral lists this ribosomal RNA (660 nucleotides) under uncultured Clostridium sp. Its description in RNAcentral is "bacterial SSU rRNA". It matches the Rfam family "Bacterial small subunit ribosomal RNA", at positions 78 to 755 of the family's 1533-position model. Lineage: Bacteria; Bacillati; Bacillota; Clostridia; Eubacteriales; Clostridiaceae. The record is from RNAcentral.
CUUUUGGAGUGGAUUAGCGGCGGACGGGUGAGUAACACGUGGGUAACCUGCCUCAUAGAGGGGAAUAGCCUUCCGAAAGGGAGAUUAAUACCGCAUAACAUAACUUUAUCGCAUGGUAGAGUUAUCAAAGGAGUAAUCCGCUAUGAGAUGGACCCGCGGCGCAUUAGCUAGUUGGUGAGGUAACGGCUCACCAAGGCGACGAUGCGUAGCCGACCUGAGAGGGUGAUCGGCCACAUUGGAACUGAGACACGGUCCAGACUCCUACGGGAGGCAGCAGUGGGGAAUAUUGCGCAAUGGGGGAAACCCUGACGCAGCAACGCCGCGUGAGUGAAGAAGGCCUUAGGGUUGUAAAGCUCUGUCAUAUGGGAAGAUAAUGACGGUACCAUAAGAGGAAGCCACGGCUAACUACGUGCCAGCAGCCGCGGUAAUACGUAGGUGGCGAGCGUUGUCCGGAUUUACUGGGCGUAAAGGAUGCGUAGGCGGAUAUUUAAGUGGGAUGUGAAAUACCCGAGCUCAACUUGGGUGCUGCAUUCUAAACUGGAUAUCUAGAGUGUCGGAGAGGAAAGCGGAAUUCCUAGUGUAGCGGUGAAAUGCGUAGAGAUUAGGAAGAACACCAGUGGCGAAGGCGGCUUUCUGGACGAUAACUGACGCUGAGGCAUG